UUAAUUGAAGAGUUUGAUCAUGGCUCAGAUUGAACGCUGGCGGCAGGCCUAACACAUGCAAGUCGAGCGGCAGCACAGAGGAACUUGUUCCUUGGGUGGCGAGCGGCGGACGGGUGAGUAAUGCCUGGGAAAUUGCCCGGUAGAGGGGGGAUAACCAUUGGAAACGAUGGCUAAUACCGCAUAACCUCGCAAGAGCAAAGCAGGG
RNAcentral lists this ribosomal RNA (205 nucleotides) under Vibrio cholerae. RNAcentral describes it as "partial 16S ribosomal RNA". It matches the Rfam family "Bacterial small subunit ribosomal RNA", at positions 1 to 211 of the family's 1533-position model. Lineage: Bacteria; Pseudomonadati; Pseudomonadota; Gammaproteobacteria; Vibrionales; Vibrionaceae. The record is from RNAcentral.